UCCUCAACGGUGGGCUAAGUACUAGUGACCUCUGGCCCCAUAGAAGACAUAUUUUCUUACCUGUCUAGUGAUGUAAUGAAGCUGCCAAGUUUUAAUGAGAGACUUUUGUAAUUUUGAUGUAUGAUUUUUUUAACACUUUUAUAAAAUGUAUUUUGUUUUGUCUUGUCAGAUGUGUAGUUAUUAUGUAUGAAGGGGAGAUGUGGUAUACUGUGCCUUUAAGCCACACUCUCUGGUUGCUACAGCUGUAAUGUAAGAACUACUGAUUGCUGGGAUAUAUAGCUUUUGUGCACCCAAAGCCUCAGCAGCCUUCCUAAUGUUUGGAAUAAACUCUUUCCUACAAGACUCUGCUGGCUGUUGAGCUUCCUUCAUACGAAGAAUAUUACACCAGUGCCUGACAGCUGUGAUGAACUGGAUGAGGGCUAGCAAAUUGAAUCUUAAUCUAGACAAGACAGAGGCCCUCCUGGUCAGUUGUGGAACCAAUCGGGGUAUUGGGUGGCAACCUGUACUUGACUGGGAUUUUAAUUUUGUUUUAAUAAUGUGUGUAUUGUGCUGCUUAUGUAAUGUAUGCUGCUGUUUUUAUGCUUGUAAACUGCCCUGAGUCCCUUCAGGGAGAGUGGGCGGUAUAUAAAUAAAGUUUUACUUACUUACUGAUUUGGAAGAAAGAUACAUGAAAUUUCCUUCUAUACCAAUUUCUUUCUAUAUGGAGGCAGUUUAUUUCCUUCCUAUGGCAUCUGAUAGUUUCCACAUAUGUAAGGCAAUGAAUAUAUUCUGUGUUCUAGUCUAGAUUUUAAAUGAAGUGUCUGUGGUACUGAACCCUAUGUCCCUCUGAAACCUAAUUCAGUAUCUGAUUGGAGUUAUACUGUCUCACUGAUACCAGAUGUGUCAUGUAAUGUCAAAUACCAGUUAAACAAACAAAAGUUUCCAAAGCAACAAAGUCCCAGUAUAUUAACAGGAAAUGCAGCAAAUGCUACAGUCUUUUUAGGCUAGCAAUUAUACAGUACAUACACACACAAGCUAUUGAAAGCAAGAGUCCAAGUUGCCGUGGUCAUGCUGAAAGUUUUUUCAGAAUUUAUUAAGGAACAAAUACAAAUCAGAAUUCCAGUCCAAGGUAAACAAAGCUGGCUUUCAGAACACAGCAGUGUCAGAUGUCCAAGUCAGAAAACAUAAUACAGUAGUCCAACAUCAACAGAGCCCAUACUCCAAAGGCCAUCAAGGUUCAGAUUCAGACCACAAAGUAAAUAUAUCAUCUCCUUCAACAAGGCUGAAGUCUUGAGAGUUUUUUAUUCUGUGCUCUCAGUUGUUGCCUGUGUAGACCCCAUUUCUCUGCUAAUUGUGCAGACUUGCAGUCCUCUGUACACUCUCAUCGGUAUUCUCAAAGGUCUGGUGCAAUUAAUCCUUCAUCAGCCUGCCCUAAUGUACUGACUUCUGUUUGCUCCACCUACUGGGUGGCUACUGCUGAAGGUUCCUCUUCUGCAAUAACUAAGCUAGGCUGGAACCAACUCCACCACUGGCUCUUCCAACAACCCCUCAUCCUCACUCUCAGAACUGACAAUGAAAAGAUACAUCAGUCACCUCUGUUUUCAUCUCUUCUGUUAUUCAUAAUUAAUUAUUUUACUGUCCUCUCAUAAAAGAACAAAAAGGAAGUAUCUCCACCGCAAUUGAUAAGGAAUCCAAAAUCUAAAAUUAUAUAAAUAUAUAAAUACCCUUGUUCGAUGGCUAUCCUUUCCAAAGAUUUUGGAUGGACAACUUUUCAGAAGAUGGCUUACUGUAGAUGUAUAAACUUUACAUAAUAAUAUUAAAAAUUUGCUGAAAAGGUUAGAACAUGUACAAGUAUUUAAAACAUAAUUUUCAGUAAAGGAUUAAAAUGUAGUACGAAUUCACACAUUUUUCUGAUCCAUGAUUUAAAUUCAAAUGCUGAUCUGAAUAAAAACAACUUCAUCUACCACAAAAAGAAAGCGAGUAGAGAAUCAAUAGAAAGGAUUUCCACUGCCUGGGAACAGUCCUCGAGAAGGCUGUCUCAUUUGUCCUGAUAUCAUGGACCUGUGAAGCUGAUGGGAUGGAGAGAAAGACCUCUCUUACAGAUCUUUAAAUUACAGCUGGUUGGUAUAAGGAGAUAAGGUCUUUCAUGUAGUCUGAACCAAAGCCACAUAGGCUUUCAGAAGUCAAAACCAGCCCUUUGAAUUGUAUCUGGACAUUGACUAGUCGCCAAUGACACUGCUUCAACACAGAAGUCUCAUGAUCCUUGUAGCUAGCCCCAGUCAAUGGCCUGGCCACAGUAUUCUUCACCAACCGAAGUUUCUGAACAGUUUCCAAAGGCAGCCCCAUGUAGAGCAUGUUACAGUUUAAACAGGAUGUAAUCAAAGCAUGUGUCACCGUAGCUUGAUCAGACUUUUCAAGGAACAGGCACAAUGAAGGUGGAGAAGAACUCUGUCAUCUGUAGUAAAUUCUACCAAGCUACUCAUAAAUCACCAAACUAGCUUUCCUAAAGUUGUGCUGGAAUUACUGAUUUGCCUCUAUCAUUACUUUUUCUGUAGGUAUCACAGAAAAGUUAGCUGCACAGCUCUGUUCAUAGACUCAUCGCGUGAUUAUUUUUAAAAAGGAAUAUGCAAUUAUGUCUGUCUCUAUUAAGAAAAUAAUUGCUAUGGAUAAUAGCAUUUAUAUUAAUUUGUCGAUAUGAAAUAAAUGUAUUUGCUAAAGAAAGCUUUCAACAUAAUUGUGGCAAACAACUUAUCUUUCAUCUAUACUUUGCUCUUUUUCUAUAGACGGGGAACACCACUAUGAUUAGUAGUGCAAUUCUAAAAGUGUUCAUUAGAAUAUGGACUUAAUAUUCUAAACUAAGCAUUUUGUGGAGAAAAUUGUGCCUCUAAGCAAUGCUUGAUCUAUAGAUAAGCGAAAGAAGCAAAGCAAAACUCUAUCUAAAAAGCUCAAUGCCUUCUUUUGCUAAUAUAAUUUCUCAAGAAAGAUACAACCACAGGAGCUAUUAUGAGCCUACCCUCAUGAAUUUUCUAAUAUGCUGACACAAGAACAAGGCAGAAAAUGCAGAGGGUAGGGAAGUCCUCAAACAUAUACAUGAGUACGCUAAUAUAUGUUUAUGUAUAUGAGA
Molecule: long non-coding RNA, 3103 nt
Organism: Anolis carolinensis (green anole)
Lineage: Eukaryota; Metazoa; Chordata; Lepidosauria; Squamata; Anolidae
Source: Ensembl